CUUAAGCGGAAUCGAGGCACCGUGGUCCAGGGGCCUCCAGAGUGUUCCAGGGUGGGGUUGGAAGCGACUCGCUUCCUCCUAGGAUCCUGCUCUUAAUCCUCCUCUUUCCAUGUACCAGGCCAGACCAGGGCGGGGGCGCAUAUGGAGGCGGAUCCCUGAGCCAAUUGCUCCCUGGAGGAGGAGAGGAGGAGGAGGCGGUGGCGGCAGAAGGCGAGCCCAGUAGCCGGCUGGCGGCAUGCGCUGGGCGGAACAAAGGACAGCUGAGCCCAGUUCCAGCAGGAGAUCGGGGGAAGGCAAGCAAAGCUCCGAGGGCCCCUUCCCUGGUUCUUCACGCGCCUUCUUUCUGCCCCCUAAUGUGAAGAUCGGCGUUCCCGUUUGGCGGAGCGUUUCUUUCUCUCGCCUCGUGCGCCCUGCUGGAUCGUGCCAGCCAGGCUCCUGCGCCCUUGCAGGCUGAGGAAGCCAACUCUUCCUCCUUCGGAAACAAGGAGCAGUUUGAUUCUUUACGGGCAAGCUCUCCAGAGGACCACAGGCAUAGCCUGGCGAGGGAGCUGCUUUGGCGGGCUUGCGGAAUGCUGCUGUUGUAACCAUCCUGGAGAGCGAAAGAGGAGGCUUUUUUCCUCUUGAAACUGGCUUGCUUUUGUGUGACCGCCUCUGGAUUUUUGGCUCCUCUCUGAAAUCUCAAGCAAGGCAGGGAUGUGAAGUCUGCCCCCUAACCCCACCCCGGCUUAGGAGUGGUAUUGUGGAAGGUCAACCCAUCUUACAUGGAAAUGCUCCGAAGCCAGCCUGGGACUGAGAGGGAAUCUGUGAAAGAUAAGCCGUUUCCUUCAUGUUUUCCUUCUCUCCACACCUCUCUGCAAACACGCUGCCGUGUCUCUCCUGGGAGCCUGGAA
Long non-coding RNA from Rhineura floridana, 890 nucleotides. RefSeq lists it as uncharacterized. The transcript has 3 exons. The record is from RefSeq and is a predicted model, not a curated record. Lineage: Eukaryota; Metazoa; Chordata; Lepidosauria; Squamata; Rhineuridae.